RNAcentral lists this unclassified non-coding RNA (229 nucleotides) under plant metagenome. RNAcentral's name for it is "partial contains small subunit ribosomal RNA, internal transcribed spacer 1, and 5.8S ribosomal RNA". The record is from RNAcentral.
UCUCCGUAGGUGAACCUGCGGAGGGAUCAUUACAGAGCUCAUGCCCUCCGGGUAGAUCUCCCACCCAUUGCUAUAACUACUCUCGUUGCUUUGGCGGGCCGCUGGGCCCUGCCCGGCCGCCGGCCCCGGCUGGCGCGUGCCGCCAGAGACCUCACAAACUCUGAAUGUUAGUGUCGUCCGAGUAACUAUACAAUCGUUAAAACUUUCAACAACGGAUCUCUUGGUUCUG